This 281-nucleotide ribosomal RNA is filed under the name uncultured Pseudomonas sp. RNAcentral's name for it is "partial 16S ribosomal RNA". It matches the Rfam family "Bacterial small subunit ribosomal RNA", at positions 29 to 312 of the family's 1533-position model. Lineage: Bacteria; Pseudomonadati; Pseudomonadota; Gammaproteobacteria; Pseudomonadales; Pseudomonadaceae. The record is from RNAcentral.
ACGAACGCUGGCGGCAGGCCUAACACAUGCAAGUCGAGCGGUUGACGGGAGCUUGCUCCCUGAUUCAGCGGCGGACGGGUGAGUAAUGCCUAGGAAUCUGCCUAUUAGUGGGGGACAACGUUUCGAAAGGAACGCUAAUACCGCAUACGUCCUACGGGAGAAAGCAGGGGACCUUCGGGCCUUGCGCUAAUAGAUGAGCCUAGGUCGGAUUAGCUUGUUGGUGAGGUAAUGGCUCACCAAGGCGACGAUCCGUAACUGGUCUGAGAGGAUGAUCAGUCACA